Molecule: ribosomal RNA, 253 nt
Filed under: uncultured bacterium
Lineage: Bacteria
Description: partial 16S ribosomal RNA
Rfam family: Bacterial small subunit ribosomal RNA
Source: RNAcentral
UACGUAGGGGGCAAGCGUUGUCCGGAUUUAUUGGGCGUAAAGAGCGUGUAGGCGGCCUGAAAGGUCAGCUGUGAAAACUCGAGGCUCAACCUCGAGACGUCGGUUGAAACCAUCUGGCUAGAGUCCGGAAGAGGAGUGUGAAAUUCCCGGUGUAGCGGUGAAAUGCGCAGAUAUCGGGAAGAACACCAGUGGCGAAGGCGACUUACUGGACACAUAUUGACGCUGAGGUGCGAAAGCGUGGGGAGCAAACAGG